RNAcentral lists this transfer RNA (75 nucleotides) under Peptococcaceae bacterium. RNAcentral's name for it is "tRNA-Ala". It matches the Rfam family "tRNA". Rfam says of the family: Transfer RNA (tRNA) molecules are approximately 80 nucleotides in length. Their secondary structure includes four short double-helical elements and three loops (D, anti-codon, and T loops). Lineage: Bacteria; Bacillati; Bacillota; Clostridia; Eubacteriales; Peptococcaceae. The record is from RNAcentral.
GGGGGUGUAGCUCAGUGGGAGAGCACCUGCCUUGCAAGCAGGGGGUCGGCGGUUCGAAUCCGCUCAUCUCCACCA